Non-coding RNA from Durio zibethinus, 3093 nucleotides. The record is from RefSeq and is a predicted model, not a curated record. NCBI's taxonomy places the organism in Eukaryota, Viridiplantae, Streptophyta, Magnoliopsida, Malvales, Malvaceae.
GCCAAAAAAAAAAAAAUCAGUAUUUUGUGACUUUCUUUCUAUUUAUAUUGCUGGCACCAUAUACUCUUAAAAUCUUCAUUUCUCACCCUGUAAUAUCUGUCUUCUUUUCCUCUUUCUCUGUAAACAAAAUUUGAUUUUUUUGUUGCAUUUAUACAAUAGAAAUUUAUACAGAUAUUUGUUUAACUGAAUUUGCGUGUAAAAAAACGGAUUGAGAUCUUUAUAAGAAAGGACACAAUUGAGAGAAAAAGGACAUAUUAUUUGAGGGGUAAGGCAAAUAGAGGAGAAGAAGAGGAUGAAAUUGACCUCCUCUAUUCUUAUUCUUAUUGUGCCUCCUCUCAGAUCUUAGUUUUUAGCAAGAUUUGGCAUUUGGGUUUCGUUUGAUUGGUGAAGUUAAAUUCUGGGUUGGUCUGUUGAUUGAUCGCGGAAGGAUCUGUUUGUUUCUAAAUUUUGAAUCAGAGAGAAAAUUUUCAUUCUGUAUCGGAUUACACUUUCGUUGUUAAAAUAAAAGAAAAAAUGUCUGAAAAUGGUAAGCUUUUUAUUGGUGGGAUAUCUUGGGACACCAAUGAAGAGAGUCUCAAGGAGUAUUUCAGUAGUUUUGGUGAAGUGGUAGAGGCAGUGAUCAUGAAGGAUCGGACCACAGGGCGUGCCCGUGGUUUUGGUUUCGUUGUUUUCGCUGACCCAGCUAUUGCUGAGAGAGUCAUCAAGGAGAAACACAACAUUGAUGGCAGGAUGGUUGAGGCAAAAAAAGCAGUUCCUAGGGAUGACCAGAACAUUAUGAGUAGAAGCACUAGUAACAUCCAUGGUUCACCUGGUCCAGGCCGUACAAGAAAGAUUUUUGUAGGAGGUUUAGCAUCUACAGUCACAGAGAGUGAUUUUAAGAAGUAUUUUGAUCAGUUUGGGAAUAUCACAGAUGUUGUGGUGAUGUAUGAUCACAACACCCAAAGGCCUAGGGGUUUUGGAUUCAUCACUUAUGAUUCAGAAGAAGUGGUGGAUAAAGUGUUGCUAAAAGAUUUCCAUGAACUGAAUGGUAAAAUGGUUGAGGUUAAACGAGCAGUUCCCAAAGAGUUAUCACCUGGUCCCAGUCGUAGCCCCCUUGGUGGAUAUAACUAUGGUCUGAAUAGGGUCAACAGCUUUCUUAAUGGCUACACUCCGGGAUAUACACCUAGCAGUGUUGGAGGAUAUGGACUUAGGAUGGAUGGUAGAUUCAGUCCAGUUGCUGGUGGUCGAAGUGGUUUUCCUCCUUUUGGUUCUGGUUAUGGAAUGGGCAUGAACUUUGAGCCAGGGUUAAACCCAAGUUUUGGAAAUAGUGCAAAUUUUAGUAGUAAUAUGAACCAUGGACGGGGAUUGAGCCCUUACUAUAUUGGUAAUACAAAUAGAUUUGCUAGUCCUAUUGGGUAUGAUGGAAGUAGUGGAGGUAAUACUUCCUUUUUCAGCUCAGUGACCCGGAACCUUUGGGGAAAUGGGGGACUCAAUCAUAACACAAAUUCUGCUGGUUCCAGUGCAUAUAUGGGAUCUGGAAGUGGGAGUAUGGGAGGAAGCGCCUUUGGAAACAGUGGAAUUAAUUGGGGUUCUUCUGCAAUUUUCAGUCAAGGUGAGGGGAAUAAUGUUUCUAGCAAUAGUGUGAAUUUUGGCUAUGGAAGUGGUAAUAACAGCUUUGGGUUGGGGACAGCAGGGUAUGGAAGAAACAGUGUGACCAAUGUGGUGCCAACAUCAUCAUAUGCAGCAUCAAAUGGUGGUUAUGAUGAAGCCUCUGCAGACCUUUAUGGUGGUGCUUCAGUAUAUGGGGAUACCACUUGGCGAUCAUCAACAUCUGAGCAAGAUGGUUCUGGUUCCUUUGGCUAUGGACUUGGUAGUGCCACUUCUGAUGUUUCGGAUAAAAGUUUUCCUGGUUAUGUUGGUGGUUAUAGCGUUAAUAAGAGACAAGCAAAUAGAGGAAUUGCUACGUAGAAGGUUAUUUUGGUUAUCACAAUACUGUAGGUGAAGAUAAUCUUGUGAAACAGGUUGAAACUUCCUUUGUGAAAUACUGAAAUGGACGAUUUGAAUUGAUUUUUUGUCUAAUACCUUUUUUUUUCCUUGCAAUACUCAGACUAAAUAUGCAAGCCAUGUUCGUAAUUUGUGCAUAAUGCAAAAAGUUUGGUAAACAACAUGGAAUCCACAAUGUUUUGGACAUUCAGAUUGCAUUGCUUGAGCUUAUUUUUAUUUCUGCUGUUUAUGAUAUUAAAUCUAUCUUGCGAAAUUGCAUUGACUCUUUUGUAUGUAAUAGCCAUUAAUUAGAAUAGGACGCUUCAAGUUGCUCUCAUUAGGCUGUGAGCAUCAUCAUGUGGUCAAAUCUUGCAUUCCUUGUUUUAAUCACUUUUUUCAUUUUCGUUUCCAUUCACAUGCCUUGUUUGGUCCAUGCAUACAAACUCCUUUGUGUGAUCACCGCCAAUCUGGGGUUUGCUAGCUGAAUGCAGAGUUCAGACCUCGCCCUCUAUUGUAAGCUUAGCCUAUUCACUCAUAGUUCCCUUCCAUGUUUUUUUGGGCUCAUGAACGGGGGUGGAUGUGCACAGCUUCCCAUUUUCCCACUCUUAUGUUUCAAUUGGGGAUGGAAAUUUUUUUUUUUCUGUACAUAAGAAGCCACAGCUUAAAAAUAAGAAAAAAAUAUUGCAAAUGUUAGGAUUUGAACUUUAGACGUGAUGAAUGUCAUUUUUUAAAGGGUAUUAUAUGAAUCAAUUCAACUAAGCUUUAGAUUAAAAAAAAUCAGAUGAUUGGCUCUUACUGAAAAUUGCUCGAUCAAUUUCUCCAAAGACCUGAGUCCGUGCAUCGUCGUAUCCUCUCCAUUUUUGUCUUUUUGGGAUAAUUCUGAAGCAUUGCAAGAAUCCAACAUCCUAACCACUUGUUGAUCAUAUGCCUGUCCAAGCAUGUCACAGCAUGAUGCUUAAAUUACUCAAGGUUAGCCAUCUGAGAGUCUUUGGUCUAUAACUCAAUCCCUGUUGCCACCAAGCCUGUCUGGAUAAAAAUCACUCAAUGCAUGCCUUGGAGGUGUAGCAUGAUACAAGUUGCUGCCUCCUGCAUUAUGUUAUGAUAGGGACACCUUAAAGGGAAACAAUUUAG